RNAcentral lists this ribosomal RNA (253 nucleotides) under uncultured bacterium. RNAcentral describes it as "partial 16S ribosomal RNA". It matches the Rfam family "Bacterial small subunit ribosomal RNA", at positions 524 to 776 of the family's 1533-position model. The record is from RNAcentral.
UACGUAGGGUGCAAGCGUUGUCCGGAAUUAUUGGGCGUAAAGAGCUCGUAGGCGGACCUGCAAGUCGGGGGUGAAAGCCCGAGGCUCAACCUCGGAACUGCCUUCGAUACUGCGGGUCUCGAGUCCGGGAGAGGUGAGUGGAAUUCCUAGUGUAGAGGUGAAAUUCGUAGAUAUUAGGAAGAACACCAGUGGCGAAGGCGGCUCACUGGCCCGGUACUGACGCUGAGGCGCGAAAGCGUGGGGAGCAAACAGG